GACGAACGCUGGCGGCGUGCUUAACACAUGCAAGUCGAACGGAAAGGCCCUGCUGUUGUGGGGUGCUCGAGUGGCGAACGGGUGAGUAACACGUGAAUAACCUGCCCUUGACUUUGGGAUAACUUCAGGAAACUGGGGCUAAUACCGGAUAGGAGCUCCUGCUGCAUGGUGGGGGUUGGAAAGUUUCGGCGGUUGGGGAUGGACUCGCGGCUUAUCAGCUUGUUGGUGGGGUAGUGGCUUACCAAGGCUUUGACGGGUAGCCGGCCUGAGAGGGUGACCGGCGACAUUGGGACUGAGAUACGGCCCAGACUCCUACGGGAGGCAGCAGUGGGGAAUAUUGCACAAUGGGCGGAAGCCUGAUGCAGCAACGCCGCGUGAGGGAUGACGGCCUUCGGGUUGUAAACCGCUUUCGCCUGUGACGCAGCGUGAGUGACGGUAAUGGGUAAAGAAGCACCGGCUAACUACGUG
RNAcentral lists this ribosomal RNA (468 nucleotides) under uncultured bacterium. Its description in RNAcentral is "partial 16S ribosomal RNA". It matches the Rfam family "Bacterial small subunit ribosomal RNA", at positions 28 to 507 of the family's 1533-position model. The record is from RNAcentral.